UACGGGAGGCAGCAGUGGGGAAUAUUGCACAAUGGGCGAAAGCCUGAUGCAGCUAUGCCGCGUGUAUGAAGAAGGCCUUAGGGUUGUAAAGUACUUUCAUCGGGGAGGAAAAAACAAAACUAAUAAUUUUAUUUCUUGACGUUACCCGAAAAAGAAGCACCGGCUAACUCCGUGCCAGCAGCCGCGGUAAUACGGAGGGUGCAAGCGUUAAUCGGAAUUACUGGGCGUAAAGCGCACGCAGGCGGUCUGUCAAGUCGGAUGUGAAAUCCCCGGGCUUAACCUGGGAACUGCAUUCGAAACUGGCAGGCUAGAGUCUUGUAGAGGGGGUAGAAUUCCAGGUGUAGCGGUGAAAUGCGUAGAGAUCUGGAGGAAUACCGGUGGCGAAGGCGGCCCCUGGACAAAGACUGACGCUCAGGGUGCGAAAGCGUGGGGAGCAAACGAGGGAUUAGGAUACC
RNAcentral lists this ribosomal RNA (455 nucleotides) under uncultured bacterium. RNAcentral's name for it is "bacterial SSU rRNA". It matches the Rfam family "Bacterial small subunit ribosomal RNA", at positions 340 to 786 of the family's 1533-position model. The record is from RNAcentral.